Long non-coding RNA from Octodon degus (degu), 426 nucleotides. RefSeq lists it as uncharacterized. The record is from RefSeq and is a predicted model, not a curated record. NCBI's taxonomy places the organism in Eukaryota, Metazoa, Chordata, Mammalia, Rodentia, Octodontidae. The transcript is spliced from 3 exons.
AGUCCUGAGCAGACACCCUUGGCUCCUGUCAGAUGCGAGCUUGCACUUCCCAAGGAGGCGCAUCCCCAGUGCGCUGUUAGGGGCUGGAGACCUGAGCUGCUUGGCGCCUGCCCGCUGUUAUCCUUGUACCUGCUGGCCCUGGAAGGACGCACAUGCCCAGCUUUGUUGUGGAAGUCAGGGCUGUUCUUGUUUAAUUUACAUUAGGCAGCCCAUCAUGGCCUGCAGCACUAAAAGAGCAGAAUAGUGAAUAAUAUCCUGCUAGAAAAAGAACUUCACGUCGUUCAGAGGUUUAGAGGACAAUGACAGCACUCAUACAACCAGAAGACGAUACGUAAAUCUUCCUUAAGGGUCUCACUAUGCAGUUCAUUGAGAACUGGCCUUCAGCUUAAUUUAAACCCAGGCUGGUCUCCACAUUAACACAAUCCC